UACGUAGGUGGCGAGCGUUGUCCGGAUUUACUGGGCGUAAAGGGCGUGCAGGCGGUUUGUUAAGUGCAGGGUGAAAGCUCCCGGCUCAACUGGGAGAGGUCCUUGCAUACUGGCGAACUCGAGGGAGGCAGAGGAAAGUGGAAUUCCCGGUGUAGUGGUGAUAUGCGUAGAUAUCGGGAGGAACACCUGUGGCGAAGGCGGCCUUCUGGGCCUUACCUGACGCUGAGACGCGAAAGCGUGGGGAGCGAACCGG
This 253-nucleotide ribosomal RNA is filed under the name uncultured bacterium. RNAcentral describes it as "partial 16S ribosomal RNA". It matches the Rfam family "Bacterial small subunit ribosomal RNA", at positions 524 to 776 of the family's 1533-position model. The record is from RNAcentral.